AGUGAACGCUGGCGGUAGGCCUAACACAUGCAAGUCGAACGGCAGCACAGGAGAGCUUGCUCUCUGGGUGGCGAGUGGCGGACGGGUGAGGAAUACAUCGGAAUCUACUCUGCCGUGGGGGAUAACGUAGGGAAACUUACGCUAAUACCGCAUACGACCUACGGGUGAAAGCAGGGGACCUUCGGGCCUUGCGCGAUUGAAUGAGCCGAUGUCGGAUUAGCUAGUUGGCGGGGUAAAGGCCCACCAAGGCGACGAUCCGUAGCUGGUCUGAAGGGAGGAUCAGCCACACUGGAAAUGAGAAACGGUCCAGACUCCUACGGGAGGCAGCAGUGGGGAAGAUUGGACAAUGGGCGCAAGCCUGAUCCAGCCAUACCGCGUGGGUGAAGAAGGCCUUCGGGUUGUAAAGCCCUUUUGUUGGGAAAGAAAUCCAGCUGGCUAAUACCCGGUUGGGAUGACGGUACCCAAAGAAUAAGCACCGGCUAACUUCGCGCCAGCCGCCGCCGUAA
RNAcentral lists this ribosomal RNA (506 nucleotides) under uncultured bacterium. RNAcentral's name for it is "partial 16S ribosomal RNA". It matches the Rfam family "Bacterial small subunit ribosomal RNA", at positions 29 to 523 of the family's 1533-position model. The record is from RNAcentral.